UCUAGAACUCGAGAUAUGGCUCAAACAACGAACAAUGUCUGGGCUGUAAGACAGAUUCAGACUUCUCAUUUGCUGCUAAGAUUUGAACUCCAAAACAGCAAUCUUGAGUUUUAGACUCUUCAUGAAAGUUUUAGGCCUAUGUCUUAGCUUUCCAUC
Populus trichocarpa (black cottonwood) is the source of this 156-nucleotide non-coding RNA. The record is from Rfam. NCBI's taxonomy places the organism in Eukaryota, Viridiplantae, Streptophyta, Magnoliopsida, Malpighiales, Salicaceae.